Molecule: ribosomal RNA, 261 nt
Filed under: uncultured bacterium
Lineage: Bacteria
Description: partial 16S ribosomal RNA
Rfam family: Bacterial small subunit ribosomal RNA
Source: RNAcentral
GUCCACGCCGUAAACGUUGGGCACUAGGUGUGGGACUCUAUCGACGGGUUCCGUGCCGUAGCUAACGCAUUAAGUGCCCCGCCUGGGGAGUACGGCCGCAAGGCUAAAACUCAAAGGAAUUGACGGGGGCCCGCACAAGCGGCGGAGCGUGUGGCUUAAUUCGAUGCAACGCGAAGAACCUUACCUGGGCUUGACAUUUUCGGUAAAGCGGGUGAAAGCCCGUGUGCUUCGGCGCCGAAACAGGUGGUGCAUGGCUGUCGU